UCGAUCCUCGUCCCAGCCUCCUUCCUGCCUUUGAUGUUUUAGAACGCACAUAGGCUAGAAGGAGGUUGGGGAUGGGGAACGAU
RNAcentral lists this microRNA precursor (83 nucleotides) under Nannospalax galili (Upper Galilee mountains blind mole rat). RNAcentral's name for it is "miRNA (ENSNGAG00000008349.1)". The record is from RNAcentral. Lineage: Eukaryota; Metazoa; Chordata; Mammalia; Rodentia; Spalacidae.